This 1912-nucleotide long non-coding RNA is filed under the name Sus scrofa (pig). The record is from RNAcentral. Lineage: Eukaryota; Metazoa; Chordata; Mammalia; Artiodactyla; Suidae.
AGGGCCUUGUCUUCCUUUAAUGCCAUAAUCAGCUGGGGCUGCCUGCCAGAGGCAGGGACUUAGUCCUCCCUAGGCUCUGCUCCUUGGCCUCUCUCCUUGACAGUUCCCACCUGCCCCUGCUGUCAUUGUGGUUUCCAGCCCCUGCCCCAUGGGAAUAAGUCUCAGCCUCUAGAUUUCUGCAGCAUCACAUUCAGUUUGCAUCCUCCACUUAAAGUUCAAGAUCUGGAUGGACAAAACUCCUGAUGUUAACCUAGCCCAGAGGACCAUUUACUCCUUGGUUGAGCGACUCUGAAGAUAAUAAGCCUGGCGGUGUGGGCAGCUGUCUCUCCCUCAGGGUGGAAGAUUGGGCCUGAGAACAGAGCCAACGCAGAAGAAAGCAAAGUCAAGAGAUGGGGAGAAGGAAGCCACCUCCUGAUGGCAUUCUCUGAGUUCCUGGGUAGCUCACCUGAAGAUAAGUCUACCGUUGAACUUUUUCUGCGUUACAUUUACCGGGAGUUUUUUGCUCUGUUCUGGAUACAGAAAGAUACCUGAAUAAUACAGAGGGAAACUAAUAAUGCUUUCCUUUUGUUUGAGUGUGGAAGAGGGCACCUAAUGGGAUGAACAUACAUCUAUAGGAUAACAUACUUAGAAAGGGCAGAUGGCCUUGCAUUUAAGUAACAACCUGGAGAGAAAAGCUACCUCAGCUUGGCACAGUUCCCAACAUCAUCAGGAUGGAGAAGGUGAAAAGCAAAAGGCCUAGACUACCUCCCUCAUUAAACCGUGAUUAAAUAAAGGGUGCUGGGUGGGGAAAGGAAAGAGGCAUGGAGUUUGGGAGUGUUCCAGAUAGAUUUCUGGUCCUUGACAAACAUCCUUUAGGCUUAGAUGCCUGCGCCCAUAACCAACUUCCAUAACUAUAUGUGCAGUUGUGGCAGUCUCUUUCUGAGGAAGGGAAUAACCCCAAACUCUUGUCCUCUAGCUGCUCAAUAGGUGACAAUAAAAUUGGCAAAUGAUUAGCAAUUAGUUAUGUAAAUGUAAACCACUCCAAGAAAAUUCCCGCCUGUUCAGACUCAAGGGUGUAAAUGAAAAGCAAGAUACCACAAUGACUUUCCCAUUGUACCCAGGUCUCCUCUUCCUUCCAGCCACAGAAACAGGCAGCUGUUACCAGUUCCUCAUGUCCGUCUGGGUCUCUGUUCAUCUAAGUGACUGGAGGUGGGCCUGGCUCUAGAGUUGCUUUGGGAGAGAGGUCUGGAGAGCCUGAGUUUUAUGAGAUUGUAAUCUCAUCCUAUGGAAUACUGAUUUUACAUGAUGUUUAUUUGAAUGGCGAACAGAUGAGUCCACUGCCUACGAACAUGGAAACUUGUCUUUUAAGGAGCAGUGCAAGACAGACAGACCUGCCUGGGGUUUUCUUCUCUGCUUUUGAAAGUGUGAUGCCAGUGUGUUACUCCAGAAGGCAAGAGAGCAUGAGUUAUUCUGAGUCCAUUAUCUGCAGAGAACGCCCACUCUGAGGGAGGUGUGUCAGCCUCCCAUAGCAGCAAUAUUUUAAAAAUGAUUUUCAUGUGGACAGCACUUCAAUUAUGUAACAGGCUAAAUAGGGCUGAACGGCUACUAGCCUGGCAACCUGCUCACUGGACAGAGCAUCUUUUUUGUGAAAAAUGCACUCCAAGUUCCAGGACACUUGGUUUAUAUGCAGACUGCAGAAACACAACUCGUUUGAGGUUGAGGACUGACUGCAUGAGGGUGGGGCCUGGGCUGGUUCAUCUGUGUCUUCUCAUCUAGUUCUUUUGAAGUGGAAGCCAGAAAUGAAGACAGCAGGACGAGGAUCCAGAUCUGGGGGCCAGGGUGCAGCCAGGCUGUGUGGACUAGCUCUAAAUCCAGUCCACAAAAGCUGCCCCAGUGAGUUAUGUGACUGGAAACUGGAGUUAUGUCUUCUUCC